Molecule: long non-coding RNA, 843 nt
Organism: Carassius auratus (goldfish)
Lineage: Eukaryota; Metazoa; Chordata; Actinopteri; Cypriniformes; Cyprinidae
Exons: 3
Source: RefSeq, a predicted model, not a curated record
UUUAAUAAUUGGUUAGUGUUUCUGUCAGUUUGGUCAGCGUUACUCAAUAGACGAUUGGUUAUUUGCUGGAUACGCCUUAAAGACUCAAAAGGUCGUGUGACAACAAGCGACAGAAGGCACACAGAAAGCCUUCUAGCUAAACAUAAAAGACUUGAAGAAGAGACUGUCAUUUCCAAAAUAAUGACUCUCUCCGGCAAAAAGCAGAACAUUUCACCACUGUACACGUGGCUUUUUACAAAACCAAAGCCUGUGGAAAAAUGACGGAAUUCACGACAACAUAAACGGCCAGUUCAGUCAGGAAGGAUUAAUGCGCCUGAGCCCCAAAGGAGAAAUAGCAGUGCCACAAGAAUUUACUUCGUUUUUUUCCUCAGGUUGAUUUCCAAACACAAACGCAGUACUUAUACAAGAGGACAGCAUCCUAUCCACGACCAGUGAUGCUCGCAACUAGUGACUCCCUGCUCGAGCGCCGCCAACUCUAGUGUACAGCUUGAUUCCAGCCAUCAGGGGGCGCUGUAUCCACUAGAAAGAGGCGAAAGGCUGAAUAUUAGUGCCGCGCUUCCCCCAGGAAACAAACUUAUUUCAGGGCAUUAGUUUGCUUCAGCUAAUUACUUACCGAGAUUAUAUACACUUGUCGUUUGUUUUCCAGAUAAAUAUUAAUAAAAUAUAUGUAUACUGAGAUGAUUGUUGUUAGGAUGCCUAUUUGUCGAAUUUUGUCUUAAAACAGUCCAGGCGAGACAAACGUGGUAAUGGGAUUCAACUGUAUUGUUCAAGUCUCCUACCCACUAGGGGGCAGUAGUUCCACAAUGUCACACCACCACACCACCACAAUGAUUAAUAACACUU